GGACCCGCACAAGCAGUGGAGCAUGUGGUUUAAUUCGACGCAACGCGAAGAACCUUACCAGCGUUUGACAUGGAAAGUGCCGGUUACAGAAUGGUAACCUUCAGUUCGGCUGGCUUUCGCACAGGUGCUGCAUGGCUGUCGUCAGCUCGUGUCGUGAGAUGUUGGGUUAAGUCCCGCAACGAGCGCAACCCUUAUCGUUAGUUACUAACAGUUCGGCUGAGGACUCUAGCGAAACUGCCGGUGAUAAGCCGGAGGAAGGUGGGGAUGACGUCAAGUCCUCAUGGCCCUUACACGCUGGGCUACACACGUGCUACAAUGGUAACUACAACGGGACGCAAUACCGCGAGGUGGAGCUAAUCCCCAAAAGUUAUCUCAGUUCGGAUUGCACUCUGCAACUCGACCCCAUGAAGUCGGAAUCGCUAGUAAUCG
RNAcentral lists this ribosomal RNA (429 nucleotides) under uncultured bacterium. RNAcentral describes it as "bacterial SSU rRNA". It matches the Rfam family "Bacterial small subunit ribosomal RNA", at positions 917 to 1344 of the family's 1533-position model. The record is from RNAcentral.